Molecule: non-coding RNA, 304 nt
Organism: Otolemur garnettii (small-eared galago)
Lineage: Eukaryota; Metazoa; Chordata; Mammalia; Primates; Galagidae
Source: Rfam
GCCAGGCGUUGUGGUGGGCGCCUGUAGUUCCAGCUGCUUGGGAGGCUGAGGCAGGAGACUCGCUUGAGCCCAGGAGUUGGAGGUUGCUGUGAGCUUUGAUGCCAUGGCACUCUACUCAGGGGGAUAGCUUGAGGCUCUGUUUCAAAAAAAAAAAAAAAAAAUGGGAAAGCAAGUAUUCAGUGUACUCAAUUUUUUUUUUUUUUUUUGAGACGGAGCCUUAAGCUAUCCCCCUGGGUAGAGUGCCAUGGCAUCACAGCUCACAGCAACCUCCAACUCCUGGGCUCAAGCGAGUCUCCUGCCUCAG